Molecule: small RNA, 700 nt
Filed under: Pan troglodytes (chimpanzee)
Lineage: Eukaryota; Metazoa; Chordata; Mammalia; Primates; Hominidae
Description: retained intron
Source: RNAcentral
UUUUUUUUUUGCUUCCCUCAAGGAGAGACUAUGUUUCUAAGUAUAUUGAUUACAUUUUCAACGUCUCUGUAAAAGCAGUUUAUGAGGAAUUUCAGAGAGGAUUUUAUACAGUCUGUGAGAAGGAGAUACUUAGACAUUUCUACCCUGAAGAACUAAUGACAGCAAUCAUUGGAAAUACUGAUUAUGACUGGAAACAGUUUGAACAGAAUUCAAAGUAUGAGCAAGGAUACCAAAAAUCACAUCCUACUAUACAGUUGUUUUGGAAGGCUUUCCACAAACUAACCUUGGAUGAAAAGAAAAAAUUCCUCUGUAAGUACUGUGGUACUAGAUGGACACAUAAUUAUGUAUCUUUUAAAAAGGUACAGUCUUGUUUAGAAUGAAGCCAUUGAAGUGGCCUCAUUGUCUGGGGUGACACCCAAGGUUCUUUGUCUCACAGCCAUGGAGAUCAAGGACAUGGACACACACAAAGGGUGAGGUAUAGAGCAGAAACUUAAUAGGCGAAAAGAGAAUAGCUCUCUGCUACAGAGAGGGGUCCCAGAAAAAUGAGUUGCUGAUUUGUGGUGAAAUGCAGGGUUUUUUAUAGAUGAGCUAGUGAGGAGGUGGUGUCUGAUCUACAUAGGGCAUGAAAAACGAGUUAGGACCCAGGUGUACCAUCUGCAUAGGGCACGAAUCUCUGGCAGCCCCUACCCCAAUCUUUGAU